This is a long non-coding RNA of Wasmannia auropunctata (little fire ant), 294 nucleotides long. RefSeq lists it as uncharacterized. The transcript has 2 exons. The record is from RefSeq and is a predicted model, not a curated record. Lineage: Eukaryota; Metazoa; Arthropoda; Insecta; Hymenoptera; Formicidae.
GUGCGGACGAAUAAAGUUUAAGGAACCAAACGGCUUGACUACGCAUCAUGCAGUUUGUAAUUUUGCUCAACGUAAUAUUUAGAAAAAAAAUGUAUAAAAUAACAUAAAGAAGUAGAUUUGGCCAUCUUCUAAUGACAUAUAAUUUAAAAGAACCGGCGAAUUAAUGAAAAUAUCAUAAACAAAUUUUUGGUCAGAAGAGCAGUGUAAUGUAGCUUAGAGAUAAGAAUAUCUUUAUAAAGAAAUAUCUAUUAUUGUACUUGUGAGAAAAUAAAUAAAAUUAAUCAGAAGUCAAAA